AGUGAACGCUGGCGGUAGGCCUAACACAUGCAAGUCGAACGGCAGCACAGUAAGAGCUUGCUCCUACGGGUGGCGAGUGGCGGACGGGUGAGGCAUACAUCGGAAUCUACUUUUUCGUGGGGGAUAACGUAGGGAAACUUACGCUAAUACCGCAUACGAUCUACGGGUGAAAGCAGGGGAUAUUCGGACCUUGCGCGAUUGAAUGAGCCGAUGUCGGAUUAGCUAGUUGGCGGGGUAAAGGCCCACCAAGGCGACGAUCCGUAGCUGAUCUGAGAGGAUGAUCAGCCACACUGGAACUGAGACACGGUCCAGACUCCUACGGGAGGCAGCAGUGGGGAAUAUUGGGCAAUGGGCGCAAGCCUGAUCCAGCCAUGCCGCGUGAGUGAUGAAGGCCUUCGGGUUGUAAAGCCCUUUUGUUGGGAAAGAAAAGCAGCAUAUUAAUACCCCGCUGUUCUGACGGUACCCAAAGAAUAAGCACCGGCUAACUUCGUG
Molecule: ribosomal RNA, 492 nt
Filed under: uncultured bacterium
Lineage: Bacteria
Description: partial 16S ribosomal RNA
Rfam family: Bacterial small subunit ribosomal RNA
Source: RNAcentral